GACGAACGCUGGCGGCGUGCUUAACACAUGCAAGUCGAACGGUGAAGCGCCUUCCUUUUUGGUGGGUGUGGAUGAGUGGCGAACGGGUGAGUAACACGUGAGUAACCUGCCCCCUUCUUCUGGAUAACCGCAUGAAAGUGUGGCUAAUACGGGAUAUUCUGGGUCUGUCGCAUGAUGGGUCUGGGAAAGAUAUUGUUUCGGUGGGGGAUGGGCUCGCGGCCUAUCAGCUUGUUGGUGGGGUGAUGGCCUACCAAGGCGGUGACGGGUAGCCGGCCUGAGAGGGUGGACGGUCACACUGGGGAUGAGACACGGCCCAGACUCCUACGGGAGGCAGCAGUGGGGAAUAUUGCACAAUGGGCGCAAGCCUGAUGCAGCGACGCCGCGUGAGGGAUGGAGGCCUUCGGGUUGUGAACCUCUUUCGCCAGUGAAGCAGGCCUGCCUCGUUUGUGGGUGGGUUGACGGUAGCUGGAGAAGAAGCGCCGGCUAACUACGUG
RNAcentral lists this ribosomal RNA (494 nucleotides) under uncultured bacterium. RNAcentral's name for it is "partial 16S ribosomal RNA". It matches the Rfam family "Bacterial small subunit ribosomal RNA", at positions 28 to 507 of the family's 1533-position model. The record is from RNAcentral.